Molecule: long non-coding RNA, 345 nt
Filed under: Papio anubis (olive baboon)
Lineage: Eukaryota; Metazoa; Chordata; Mammalia; Primates; Cercopithecidae
Description: lncRNA (ENSPANG00000050851.1)
Source: RNAcentral
AUACUCAGGUCACAGCUGCCCUUCUGAGAGCCUCCAACCCGCGACGUCUAGGGGCGAAAAGGGACUGUCGCUCUGGCAGAUGACAAGACCCAAGGACCUGGAGGAGCCACACAACUGAAAGGGAUGAGGUUCCUGAAUCACUACACGGAGGGAAGCGCCCACUGAUUAGAAACAUCUGCCUGUUUCAUAAGGAUAAGUAAAGAGGGAAUGGAUGCCACAUGGUGCAGCUGCCUAAAAGCUAAGAAGGGGUCAUGGGGUAACAGGAAAUGCCAAAGAAAAACAAUAAUUGGAUUUGAGAGGUGUCCCUAAACACCAGCUGCUGUGUUCUGUGUAAAAGACACUCAA